RNAcentral lists this ribosomal RNA (1245 nucleotides) under metagenome. RNAcentral describes it as "bacterial LSU rRNA". It matches the Rfam family "Bacterial large subunit ribosomal RNA", at positions 1564 to 2818 of the family's 2925-position model. The record is from RNAcentral.
UGAAUACGAGACGCUAAGGCGUCGAAGUAGUGUAUGUCAUACUUCCAAGAAAAGCUUGCACUGUCAUAGAUAAAAAACGCCUGUACCAUAACCGACACAGGUGGGUAGGUAGAGUAUACUAAGGGGCGCGAGAUAACUCUCUCUAAGGAACUCGGCAAAAUAACUCCGUAACUUCGGGAGAAGGAGUGCCUUAUUCGUAAGGUUGCAAUAACAAGAUCCAAGCAACUGUUUAUCAAAAACACAGGUCUCCGCUAAGUCGUAAGACGAUGUAUGGGGGCUGACGCCUGCCCAGUGCCAGAAGGUUAAAGAAGUUGGUUAGCAAUUGCGAAGCUGAUAACUGAAGCCCUGGUGAACGGCGGCCGUAACUAUAACGGUCCUAAGGUAGCGAAAUUCCUUGUCGGGUAAGUUCCGACCCGCACGAAAGGCGUAAUGAUUUGGAUACUGUCUCGGAGAGGGGCUCGGUGAAAUAGACUUGUCUGUGAAGAUGCGGACUACCUGCACCAGGACAGAAAGACCCUAUGAAGCUUUACUGUAUCUUGAAAUUGAAAUUGGACUUUAUUCGCGCAGUAUAGGUGGGAGGCGUUGAUUAUAAUCUUGUGGGAUUAUUGGAGCCAUCACUGAGAUACCACUCUUGUAAUGUUAGAUUUCUAACUUUGAAUCAUUAUCUGGUCAAAGAACAGUUUCAGGCGGGCAGUUUGACUGGGGCGGUCGCCUCCUAAACGGUAACGGAGGCGUACAAAGGUUUCCUCUGAACGGUUAGAAAUCGUAUCUAGAGUGUAAAGGCAUAAGGAAGCUUGACUGUGAGACCUACAAGUCGGGCAGGGACGAAAGUCGGUCUUAGUGAUCUGACGGUACUGAGUGGAAAGGUCGUCACUCAACGGAUAAAAGUUACUCUAAGGAUAACAGGCUGAUCUCCCCCAAGAGUUCACAUCGACGGGGAGGUUUGGCACCUCGAUGUCGGCUCAUCGCAUCCUGGGGCGGUAGUACGUCCCAAGGGUUGGGCUGUUCGCCCAUGAAAGCGGUACGCGAGCUGGGUUCAGAACGUCGUGAGACAGUUCGGUCCAUAUCCGGUGUAGGCGUUAGAAUAUUGAGAGGAGCCUUCUUUAGUACGAGAGGACCGAGAAGGACAUACCUCUGGUGUACCAGUUAUCGUGCCAACGGUAAACGCUGGGUAGCUAUGUAUGGAGUGGAUAACCGCUGAAAGCAUCUAAGUGGGAAGCCCACCUCAAGAUAAGUAUUCUCAUC